This 116-nucleotide ribosomal RNA is filed under the name Vibrio vulnificus. The record is from RNAcentral. Lineage: Bacteria; Pseudomonadati; Pseudomonadota; Gammaproteobacteria; Vibrionales; Vibrionaceae.
UUUGGCGACCAUAGCAUUGCGGACCCACCUGAAUCCAUUCCGAACUCAGAAGUGAAACGUAAUAGCGCCGAUGGUAGUGUGAGGCUUCCUCAUGCGAGAGUAGGACAUCGCCAGAU